Myxocyprinus asiaticus (Chinese sucker) is the source of this 610-nucleotide long non-coding RNA. RefSeq lists it as uncharacterized. The record is from RefSeq and is a predicted model, not a curated record. Lineage: Eukaryota; Metazoa; Chordata; Actinopteri; Cypriniformes; Catostomidae. The transcript is spliced from 5 exons.
AAUGGACACAAUGAAGCAGGCCCAGCCGUUCCAGUACUCCGUGGGUGGAACAAAUGCAAACAGAAUCUUCCAGAACACUGUCAUCACAUGCAUGAAAUAAUCACAGCAAGAUGGUUGCUGAGGCUCUCCUCCUUCCUCAUCACCUUCUCAUGAGAGGAAGGAAAGAAAGAGAGAGAAAGAAAAAUGACAGAACAGGGUGGGUCUUCGCAGGGCUGAUGACUGCCAGGAUGAGGUAGAGCCAGAUGUAUGCAAAGAUGCUCCAGAAUGCAGUAAUGAAGAAGACUCUCAGGUGUUUGAUCUUCCUCACCUCUCCGUCAGGAGAGUGAAUUCUUGUAAAAAUGAGUUGACCGUUUCUGGAGACAUCACAUGAGCCCUGUCCAUUUAACUGACCACCCCUGUGUCAAACUACAUUGAGUUAAAGGAUGUCUUUACAUGGAUGAACUGGGGUUGAAGUCAACACUGUAAAAUGAUCAGACAGCAGUAUCUCAGGGGCUGAUGAACCCAGGGCCAUGAGUGUGAGAUUGGAGACAGUCUCAUUCCAGAUUCUAACUGUCAUUACAGUCUUCUCUCCAUUUGCACCUGUCACAGUCACCUCUUUCUCCUACAGGAC